This 562-nucleotide long non-coding RNA is filed under the name Felis catus (domestic cat). RNAcentral describes it as "lncRNA (ENSFCAG00000041941.2)". Lineage: Eukaryota; Metazoa; Chordata; Mammalia; Carnivora; Felidae. The record is from RNAcentral.
ACCAUAACCCACUGGAGGUACCAACGGCUGCUAUCUGCAUGCCUCAGGGGAGGAAACUGAGGCCCAGGAAAAGAGAGUUUGCUGUAUCCAGAGAGACAGAUUGGUCCCGUUUAAUCUAAUAAACGGAGAAGGAGCUAACAGUCACCAGGCUCUGGACUGGAACGGGGGAUACAGAGGUGAAGAGCUCAGUUUGUGUCCUUGUGGAACUCACCACCCAGGUAUGUACAAACACACUUUUGAUAUAACAUAAGUACUAUAAUUGCAAAAACCAUUUAUUGUUGAUGUUUAAAUAGUCUGCCUGGUUGUCAGUUGAUGUGUCAAAUCAUGUAUUGCAAUGUUUGAUGCAGAAAAUAUGGUUGGCACUAACCCGAGGAAUUAACCACAGAAGUUUAGCAAUGAGCAUGACUGACUCAGCCUGGAGGGUCUGAGAUGUCUUCACAGAGCAGGCAAAAUACUCAACCGUAUAUUGACCAUUCCUAGCACGGGGAGAGACAGGUUUUAAGGCAGACAGGUCAGUAUAGGCAAAGAUGUGGAAGUGAGAAAGAGCAUGGUCUGUUGGGAG